RNAcentral lists this ribosomal RNA (496 nucleotides) under uncultured bacterium. RNAcentral describes it as "partial 16S ribosomal RNA". It matches the Rfam family "Bacterial small subunit ribosomal RNA", at positions 29 to 507 of the family's 1533-position model. The record is from RNAcentral.
AUGAACGCUGGCGGCGUGCCUAAUACAUGCAAGUCGAGCGAACAGACGAGGAGCUUGCUCCUUUGACGUUAGCGGCGGACGGGUGAGUAACACGUGGAUAACCUACCUAUAAGACUGGGAUAACUUCGGGAAACCGGAGCUAAUACCGGAUAACAUGUUAAACCGCAUGGUUCAACAGUGAAAGACGGUCUUGCUGUCACUUAUAGAUGGAUCCGCGCCGCAUUAGCUAGUUGGUAAGGUAACGGCUUACCAAGGCAACGAUGCGUAGCCGACCUGAGAGGGUGAUCGGCCACACUGGAACUGAGACACGGUCCAGACUCCUACGGGAGGCAGCAGUAGGGAAUCUUCCGCAAUGGGCGAAAGCCUGACGGAGCAACGCCGCGUGAGUGAAGAAGGUCUUCGGAUCGUAAAACUCUGUUAUUAGGGAAGAACAAAUGUGUAAGUAACUAUGCACGUCUUGACGGUACCUAAUCAGAAAGCCACGGCUAACUACGUG